This 258-nucleotide ribosomal RNA is filed under the name Bacillus sp. (in: firmicutes). Its description in RNAcentral is "Bacillus sp. (in: Bacteria) partial 16S ribosomal RNA". It matches the Rfam family "Bacterial small subunit ribosomal RNA", at positions 91 to 342 of the family's 1533-position model. The record is from RNAcentral. Lineage: Bacteria; Bacillati; Bacillota; Bacilli; Caryophanales; Bacillaceae.
GUCAGCGGCGGACGGGUGAGUAACACGUGGGCAACCUGCCUGUAAGACUGGGAUAACUUCGGGAAACCGGAGCUAAUACCGGAUAACACCGAGGACCUCAUGGUCCUUGGUUGAAAGAUGGCUUCGGCUAUCACUUACAGAUGGGCCCGCGGCGCAUUAGCUAGUUGGUGAGGUAACGGCUCACCAAGGCGACGAUGCGUAGCCGACCUGAGAGGGUGAUCGGCCACACUGGGACUGAGACACGGCCCAGACUCCUAC